CUACAUCUACCCUGUAGAUCCGAAUUUGUCUGAAAUCUCAGACUCCCUAACAAAUUCGGUUCUAGAGAGGUUUGUGUG
This 78-nucleotide microRNA precursor is filed under the name Folsomia candida. RNAcentral describes it as "mir-10 microRNA precursor family". It matches the Rfam family "mir-10 microRNA precursor family". Rfam says of the family: In this case the mature sequence comes from the 5' arm of the precursor. The extents of the hairpin precursors are not generally known and are estimated based on hairpin prediction. The record is from Rfam by way of RNAcentral. Lineage: Eukaryota; Metazoa; Arthropoda; Collembola; Entomobryomorpha; Isotomidae.